This 2666-nucleotide long non-coding RNA is filed under the name Monomorium pharaonis (pharaoh ant). RNAcentral describes it as "uncharacterized LOC118645596". The record is from RNAcentral. Lineage: Eukaryota; Metazoa; Arthropoda; Insecta; Hymenoptera; Formicidae.
GUCUAAAACGAUAGAUACGUUACAAUUGUAUAACUUGGUUAUACAAUUGUAACGUAUCUAUCGAUCAGUCGAGCAAUAUCAAAAUACAAUUUGUCAAAAUCUUUAAAAAAUCCUCAAAAUAAAUAUAUUACUAAUAUACUACUAAAUAGAAAUUUUAAAUACAUACAUAAUUUUUCCAACAAGUGUAGUAAUUUCCAUGUACUGUGAUUAAAAACUCUUAACUUUUUGCGCUUCAAGUGCUGAUCUAGUUAGUGCUUAAAAAAUUUGGAAUUUUACUCUACGUAUCAACUAUUGCUAAUUGACAGUAACGAAAAAAAUCACGCUAAAACGUAAUAUAUUAUUUCUCUUUUAAUACUUCAAUAAGUAUAACAUAUACGACACACGAGCACGAACGCACGCACGCAUACUUAUUGUAAAAAUCGCAAGUGAAUUAACAUUACAAUACGCGAAGUAAACUGUCAACAUUGCUCCAAAUCUGUCAAGCGCAAAGAGUUAAUAAAGUUUUAAUUGAAACUUUGUUACAGUGAGGAAAUAUAUAUAAAAUAUUUAAAAAAUUUUUUAAAUUCUAAAAUUAUUGUUAUAGAUAAUAAUUUUUCUUAACAUUUUUGCUAAGAAAAAAUCAAAUUCGUCGAAAAAUCUACCUUAGAAAGAUAAUGCGUAGAGAUAUAGGAUAUCCAAUAAUUUGGCCCUAUUUAUAACUUGAUCUAUUAUGAUCCAAUACGAUUGCAUUCCGAUUGUCGAAGGAAAUGAAUUCCCAAAGUGGAUAUUACUUUUACAGGAUUAAAAGAUGCGAUUUUAGGAAUGUGACUUCUGUAUUUAUGCUGAUAAGUCGAGAACUUUCUCACUUGGAUAAUGAUCCUUUUGAUCUGAAUAACGAUGUUGUGAUCAAUUAUUCUCGAAAGAAAUUUGAUUCUGAGAAUUAUCACAACUAUUUCGGACACUACUCUUACAAAGAGAAUCAGAGAUUUCAUGUUGUUGACGAAUUAAAGAAAAGAAUGAGAGAAUACAACAUACGGGCAGAAACUGCUUGUCAAAAAGAUGUAUUUGAACGAAAUAUAUAAUAUAUUUAAGUUAAAUAUAUAAUUUAUAAAUUCAAGUAUUUUAUGUGUAAAAAUUAAAUACAUAAGUAUCUGAAUUGAUAUUUGAAAGUACUUAAUCAUAUAGAAAACUGUAGUGGUUAACAACUUGUUUCUCAGCGUAGUACAGCUGUUACGCAUUUUACAAUAGCGUAGUUGUAAAAUACGUAGUUGUAAGUGGUUGUACAGUAAUGCAAGACAAUUAUUUGUCCACUUCUAUCAAUAUAAAUUAACUUUAAUCUCGAUUUUUUUUAAUAAAAAAGAAACUAAAUUGAGAUGAAAGCUAAUUAGAAAUUAAUUAGAAAUAAACAUACAACUGCGCUUUACAACUACUUACGACUAUAUAUAAUUACACUAUUGUAGAACAACUCUAAGGGCCGGGUGUUUAAAACAGCUGACUACAGCUCACUCAUAUAACGAUGCAAUUUGUAUAUUGCUGUAUAUAUGUCCCAUUUACACAAUAUUCAUAUACAUCGUGUCUCUACUUUAUUCCAAUUAAAUCGCAAAGCUUAUUAGUAUUGUAUCAAUAACAAUUAGUAUUGUAUCUAUAUGCAUUUUAUAGUAUGCAUGGUUAAACCGAUAACCUAUGUCAAAUUUCUGUAUAAAAAAAUUAAAAAUUAUCGUUACCAAUAAAAAUAAUAUUAUACAAUGAUAAUUCUCAAUUCCAAAUUUAAAAUUAAAUAUCACAUAUCUAAAAUAUUUUAAAAGCACAUUUCUUUAAUUGUUAAAUUUUAUUAAUCCUUUAAUUACAUGCUUGCACCACUUAUAUGAAAUAUGAUACUUGUGAUAUCAGCUCUUAAAAGCGAAUGAUUUAUUUAUUCAGUUAGAUACUACUCUAGGGUUUUCCAUAGUACAUGGAAGUCUCAAUAACUUUCGUAACAGGUGAAUAUUUUCACAUAACUACGUUCGAGAACAUACCACACUAUAUCUAACGAUUUGCAAUCCAUUAGCAUGGAAAUACGAUAAAACUUUGCAACAGCCAACCACAGUUAUCAUAUCAUUAUUCUACCGUUACUAUUCUGACGCGCAACUAUAUGCCAAUUGCACCACGCGGUUUAUUAUGGAACAUAAUAUAUAUAAACACGGCCACAUGCCAAAUGCAUGUAAAAUGUGAUACCAAUAUGAUUGCAACAAUCAUUAAUAUUUGUAGAAUUCUAUAUUAAACAAUUCUAUAUUAAAUUAUAAUUGCUUUAUUUAUUUUGGAAAACUACAGAAAUUGCAUAAUCCAUAUGUAAUUAGUGCUCCUAUAAUCAAUUUCUAAUUUAAUGCUUAGAUAAUUACGAAUAAACAUAUUAAUGAUAAAAAUAAUCGUAAAUAUAUCGUGUACUGAUAAUAAACUGAAGGCCUCGCAAUGUUUCGAUUUACUUUGCGAACAAAUAUGUUACUUGUGCCUCUGAGAAAUAUUCGAAAGAAAAUGAAUUAUAAGAAGAGAAAAGAAUAGUCUAAAAAUAAUUAGUUUCCUACAAAUAAAAUUUUUUUAGAGUUUAAAAAACAUCCUAAGAUGCAUCCUUUAUACAGAAUCAUGGUUAACAAUUAUCAAUAUCGAAUAAACAAAAUAUUGUGUACAAUAUUUAGGUAAAAUACGCCAAA